AUCCCUUAUAUAUUAAUUGAGGAACAUUUGAAAAGAUGUAACCUCAAUUUUGUAUUAAUUAAAAGAGGCCCCAAUGCAUAGGUGUCACUCAAUUAGGUAGUCAAUUACAUUCAAUUGAAAAAUAAGUAGGUCCACAUUCGAUUUUUAUAUGUUGUUAGAUAUAUAUAAGUUGGUCAAACUAUAUGAUAUAAUGAUAUGAUAUGAUAUUUUAUUUCCUUAAAUAAAACCUACGGAAUUACCAUAAAUGACUAAUAUAUAUAUGACAAUUAAUGAGUUUAAUAAUAAAGAUUUGAUAACAAUGUAUAUCUCCUCCAUCAAUUUUUGUUUAAUUUUAUAUUAUUAAAAUAAAUUAAACAAUCAAAUUAGCUAUAAAAAAAAAAUUUAGAUUUUUUCGUAUAUGUUAUAUUUUGAAUUUUUAAAAACGAUAAUAAAUGACUAAAACUAUUAAAAUUAUUAUGUUAAAAAUUAAUGAUCAAUGGUUUAACAUUUUUAUUAUAAGAAGAUACACAUGACAUGAUUUUAAAACCAUAUGAGUAAAAAAUAUCAUUUAAUAAUAAAAUAAAUAUAUAUAUAUAUAUAUAUAUUAAACACUAUAUACCAUAAGAUUACAUAAAUAUUUUAAUAUUAAAACUUUCAAUGAAUUUUCAAGAACAUUUAUAAAUUAUAAACUUAUUAAAGAUUUCAGAUUGAAAAUUUUGUUAUCGAUGAUUUAAAUAUUUUGUUAUAAAACGAUAUGAACGAUCAUAGAACCGUAUGAUUAUAAAUUCUUAUUUAAUAAAUAACUAUACAAAAUAUACUAUUCCUAGAAAAAUAGGUUGGUCUAUCUUAACUUAUAUUACACUUUUUAUUAAACUAACUAUCGAAUUGAUAAAUAACGUACCAAAAAAUGUUUUGCACUUUCCUUAAAUAAAAGCUACGAAAUUACCUAAUAUGAUUAACGUAUAUGUGAAAAUUAAUUAUAAUGAAUAAUAAAUAUUUGAUAACAAUUUUUGUAUCUUAGUUCUUUUUUUUAAUUUUAUAUUAUUAAAAUAUAUUUAAAAAUCACAUUAAAUAUAUAAUAAAAACAUUUACAAUUUUUCUUAUAUGUUAUAUUUUGAAUUUUUCAAAACGUCUAUAAAUUAUUAGAAAUUUGAAGAUCCCCACUCUGAAAAUUUUGUGAUCAAUAUAUUUUUUUUUUGUCAUAAUAAGUUACAAAUGAUCAUAAAAUUGUAUUAAUAUGAACUUUUAUUUAAUAUUAUAAGAAGAUACACAUUAUUUUAAAACCAUAUGAGUAAAAAAUAUCAUUUAAUAAUAAAACAUAUAUAUUUAUAUAUAUAUAGAUUAUACUAUAUACCAUAAGAUUACAUAAAUAUUUUAAUAUUAAAACUUUCAAUGAAUUUUCAAAAACAUUUAUAAAUUAUAAACUUAUUAAAGAUUUCACAUUGAAAAUUUUGUUAUCGAUUAUUUAAAUAUUCAGUUAUAAAAUGAUAUGAAUGAUCAUAGAACUGUAUGAUUAUAAAUUCUCAUUUAAUAAAUGACUAUAUAAAAUAUACUAUUCUUAGAAAAAUAGGUUGGUCCAUCUUGACUUACAUUAUAUUUUUUUAUUAAACUAACUAUCGAAUUGAUAAAUAAUCUACCAAAAUGUUUUUUGCACUUUCCUUAAUUAGAAUCUACGAAAUUACCUAAUAUGAUUAACGUAUAUAUGAAAAUUAAUUAUUAUGAAUAACAAAUAUUUGAUAACAAUUUUGGUAUCUUAGUUCUUUUUUUUUUAAUUUUAUAUUAUUGAAAGAUAUUAAAAAAUCACAUUAAAUAUAUAAUAAAAACAUUUAUAUUUUUUCUUAUAUGUUAUAUUUGAAUUUUUCAAAACGUCUAUAUAUUAUUAGAAAUUUGAAUAUUCCCACUCUGAAAAUUUUGUGAUCAAUAAAUUAUUUUUUUGUUAUAAUAAGUUACAAAUGAUCAUAAAAUAUAACGCAUAUGAAUUUUUAUUUAAUAAAUAUUCAAACUAAAUAAUAUAUAUAUAUAUAUAUAAACACUAAUGAUUUAAAGCAACAAGAUUGGGUGAUCAAUUUAGUCGUCCAGUUGAAAUCUUUCAAAAGUAUGUGAAAGACUAAAAUCAAAGUACAUAUGGAUUUAGAAUAGUAGUUAUAUUUUACUAACCAAAUACCGAAAAAAGCAAACCGAACCGAAACCAAUCCGAUAUCCGGAUUGAACACCCGUAAUCCAAAUGAAACCAAACUAUUGUUUCAUUCUCCAAAAUAUAAUAAAAAUAAUAACUUAAUCCCGCGCAAGGCGCGGGUCUUAUCCUAGUGUUUAUAUAUUAACUGUUCAGAUGACUUUCCAUUAUGAUGAUAAAGACAGUUUGCGGCAGCUUCGUUUCUUCUCAGAGACGGCAUGCAAACCUUAAAAUAACAAAACAGAUAUCAGUUUUUUUUUUUUUUUUUUUCCGUCUAAAGUUUAUUUAAUAAAAAGUCAAAGCCCAAUCCGCAUACAAGUCCAUACACAUUAAGGGAAACUCAGAAAUCCAAAAGAAACCUCAAACCCAAUACAAACCCUAGGCCCAAACCAGGAGCAGAUGUCGGCAGCAUUCCAUCGCGAGCCGCAGCAUCACCUCCGCCACGUCUAUCACCGGAAAGCUAUCCACCGGUUCACCGAUAUCAGUUCUCACUACUAACUUUUCAGUAAAACCUCAAUAGGCACUGUGCAGUUAAAAUAGAAUGCAACAUAAAGAAUUAAACGAGGCUAUUAUUGCCACGUAGACAUCGCACGUCUCUGUACCCAAUCAGAAUGGGCUGUGACAACGUGCGCUGUGAGAAUACCAAUUUUCGAUCCACUUUUUUUUUUUUAAGGUUUGUGAAGGGUAAAGUUGAAACGAGGACGACCAUACAUACCAACUCGAAAGGAAAUCAAAAACAAAUAAAUCGAAAGAAAAAUUUUCUUCGAGAUCGCGAUCUUCUUCCUCCCUGAUCCAUUCAAAAGCUUCUCUUCUCCGGCGUAAUCAUGGUAUACUUCCUCUAAAGUCAACCCUUCCUUUUUGUUAAAUCUGUGGAGCUUCUUCUUCUUCUUCUCGUUGUAAACUCCGAUCUGCCAGAUCUGAUUCAUGAGCUUAACUAUCAAUGUUUGAAUCACGCGAAGUUUGUUUUCAAUUAGCUAAAUUGAGAUCCUAAUUUCGAAUCGGAUUAGCUGAAUUUCUUUUACUCUUUUGCUGUGGUUGUUAGGAUGUUCGAUCUCCAGCUCCUGUUCCCAUCGGAUCUCGGCGGCGUGAUAACAAGUGGUCAUCUCGUUGGGGUCCUGACGAUAAAGAGAAAGAUGCUAAGGUUGACAAGGAGGAGCCUGAAACUCAAUCUGUGCUUGGCAGCAGCCUCCGUGCUACUGACUCCGACGCUCGUGAUAAAUGGAGGCCACGUCAUCGGAUGGAGCAGCUCCAGUCCGGUGGACCUAAUUCUUAUCGUGCUGCGCCUGGGUUUGGACUUGAUAAAGGACGAAGUGAGGGUCCUAAUUUAGGGUUCGCCGUUGGUCGAGGAAGGGCGAGGGGUACUUGGUCUACUUUCUUUGGCGCUGGAGGAUUCUUGAGAAACGAGAGGGUCCCUGGUAAACCUGCGCCUAUGUGUCGUUAUGUGAGGGGGAAGUUGCUUGACUUGUAUAGAAACCAGAAGCCUGAUAGGAUGCCUAUUGAUAUGGAGGAUGUUGACUCUGUAACUCAAGUGGAUUUGAUCGAACCUCUUGCUUUUAUCGCACCUGAUGCUGAAGAAGAGGUAUGGUUCUCACUGGGGACUUGCUGUGCUUCUCAUAAGUGUGUCAUUCAUGUUUCUGUUUCUUAUUUGUAACUAGUUUUCUUUUGUUGGUUUUUUCCUUUCCCAUGAGUGUUUUGUAACUAAUUUUCAUGUGUUUGUGGUCUGGGUAUUAUAUAUUUAUUUCAGGAAAGCCUUAAGGGUAUAUGGAAGGGAAGGAUCACUGGUAGCGAAGCUCAUAUUUCACCUGGGGAAGAAUCAUUAGCUGAGAAGAGUCUGGGUAUACAAUCUUGUUUUUUUUUUGUUAAUUGGCUUCUAUCGUUCCUACUAGCGGAAUGUAACUAAUGCCUCUCUGACUUGACAGGUGAGACAAAAGUGGAUGGUGGUUUGCUAGGGGUUGUGAGUGGUGACAGUGUUUCCAUGCAUAAUAGUAAUUCAGGUAUGUGAAUAAUAGGUGCUAAACGGGUCUUCUAAUUCAUGUAGUUUUUAGCUUUCUUUUGAGUCUGUUGGCAUUUUAGUGUUCUAUAUAUUUUGACCCAAAUCCAAACAACUGUUGCUGUAGGAUUACUUGGUAGUCAUGGUGGAGGUCUGUGGGGUGCUUCUGAAAGUGAUCAAGUUUCUCAUGGAAGUCCUGAAGCAGUUAGAUCUGGUUUUACUAAAUCUUCUGUGUUGAAUGCGGGUGAACCCCUUGUUGAGCAAGAUUAUACGGGAAAGCUGCAGCAACCAGAAAUUGAAGUGAAUCACUCCGAAGGGACCCUGCCACCUGAGGAGUUUAUGUUCACGUACAUUGAUCCUCAAGGAGUAAUACAGGGACCGUUCAUUGGAUCUGACAUUAUUUCAUGGUUUGAGCAAGGGUUUUUUGGGACUGAUCUACAGGUCCGCUUGGCAACUGCUCCAGAAGGGACUCCUUUUCAAGAUCUAGGCAGUGUCAUGUCGUAUUUAAAGACGGAAAGUAUGCAAGCCCACAUCAAUGAUCAAAUCAUCGAGCUAGAACAGACUAGUAGAAAAGCAAAUUCGGAGAUUGGUUUAUCAUUUGCACCCGUAGAAGAUUCUAAUGGUUCAGCCUUAGGUCACGAUAAUGUUCAAAUGAAGUCUAAAUCAGAAGCUUAUGUGAAACCACCACAUCUUGAUGACCGAAGUUUCUUGGACUAUUCUGCUCAAGAUGAAGGUUUGUUAUUCUACUGACCUUUUCUCACUUGUGUGCAUUUGUGUGGUAUAAUACAUUUCUUUCUUCGGUUUUAUAUGCUUGUGUAGCCGAAUACAUUUCCUUCUUUCAUAAUCAUAUUAAUUAACUUUCUGUUCAUGAUAACUAAACAUACUUUUGUAUUUUUUUCUUAUUCAGAAAUCGUAUUCCCAGGAAGAGCUGGAGUUUCUGGUUAUGGAUCGGCAAAAUCCUCUACAAGUAUGCAUGAUGCUUUAAUGGGAGUUUCUGGCCACUCUGCUGUUCCUGUUGAAUCAGCGAAGGUUGCUACACAAAAUCAGAAUGAGAACAAGCUGCAUCCGUUUGGUGUGUUGUGGUCUGAGCUAGAGAGCAGUAGUACACCAGUUGAUCUUUUGCCUAACAGGUCGUAUGAUACAGGACAUGACCAGAAGUAUCUUGAUCAAGCUCGGGAUUUGGAUCAUUUAUUAACUCUCAAAUCGCAGCAGCAGCAGCAGCAACAAAAGAUUCAGUUGCAGCAGCAGCAGAAGAUUCAGUUGCAACAACGUCAACUAGAGCAAGAGUAUCAAUUACAACAGAAGCUCUUACGGGAGCAACAACAGUCCCAUGCUCGGAAUUUACAUUUUCAACAGAUUCUUCAAGGACAGACUCCUGAUUCAAGACUUGGGCAGUCGCAUGACUUCCAUCGACUCAACAAUGUUGAUCAGAUGAUAUUAGAGCAGCAACUAAUGGAUGAAUUGCAGAGUUCUGGCCAUAGAUCACAAAAUUUUACACCGUACAUGGAGCAGCUUGCCGCUGGAAAUUUUGGGCAGUUACCACAUGAAGGUCAUCAAAAAGAGCUACUUGAACAGCUACUUUCCGAACAAAUGCAAUCUCAAUACAGACAGAUGCAUUCUCAACAUGGACACAUGCAAUCUGAACCAAUACGGUCUUUGGAGUACCAGCUACUGCAACAAGAUCAGCUCAUGCGAUUGGCAAAUGGAGGGAGGCAAAAUACACUAUUGGAGGAACUGAGACAUAUUGACCCUCAACAUGGACAAUUGCAGUCUGAACCAAUACGGUCUUUGGAGUACCAAUGGAUGCAGCAAGAGCAGCUCAUGCAAUUGGCAAAUAGAGCGAGGAACAAUACCCUAUUGGAGGAACAUAGACAUAUUGAUCCUCUAUGGCCAUCCAACCGUAAUGAUCAGCUUCUAGGAGCUCAUCCUGGGAUCCACCGUUCACACUCUUCUGCGGGAUUUAGACCAGUAGACUUUCAUCAACAGCAGCAGGGGCCACCCUUUGAGGAUCACUUUAGUCAUCUUGAGCGGAACCUUUCAUAUCAGCAACAACUUAAUCAGGAAUUAUUCGAGCAAGGUCUACCCUUUGAGCGAUCUACAUCGUUACCCAGAAAUACAUCGGGGCUGAAUCUGGAUGCAGUAAAAGGUCUUAACUUCUCUGAGUUGCGGGAUGCCCAGAUGCAAUCCUCUGGUAGAUUAGGAAAUUCUACUCCGGGUUUCAGUCAUCAGAAUCCCCAUAUACAAUUAGGUGAACCUCAUUUUUCAGAAAUGGAACCAAGGAAAGAACGCUGGCAUGGAGCAGAUACACAGCUAGCUGGUGGCUGGGCUGAAACUCAGUUUCAUAGACCAAAUACUGAAGCUGACCAUCAUAAAAUGAGGUCAGAAAUGAGGAGAGCUGGCGAAGAUUCCAACUCAUGGAUGGUAGAUGGACAUACGGAUGAAAAGUCAAAACAGCUUUUUAUGGAGUUGCUUCACCAGAGGCCUGGCCAUCAACCUCUCGAGUCACCAAGCAUGAAUCGUGGGGAACCCUAUGACAGGAUGGCUGCUUCAGGCUUCGGCUUUGCAGACCAUGGUGGUAGGCAAAACGCUUCAUCUUCUUUUGGGUCGCACACAUCUUCUGAUGAACAUGUAAACGGAUUACCAGGAGAUAGGAACUAUAUGGGAUCGUUGCAGCGUGAUAAUUCAUUACUUUCUGGAAGUACCGAUGGUGGAAGAAAAAAUGAAACUAAAGACUUCAGUAAUAUGCUUGGUAUGAGCAAAGACGUGAAUGACAUCAGAACGUGGAACAAUGCACCACCGAAAAAGGAAGGAGCGGGGUUGAUGUCAUUUGAAGCACAAGACAGAAUGGGAAAGCAAGCAGUAAUGGAUUCCUUGGUUCAAGGGGAGGUUCCUGUUGCUACGCUUGGCAGACAGUCUUCUUCCAGUAUCUCUGGUAUGUAUCUUCCAGAGUUUAGAUUUCCUUUUCCCUGAAUAUAUCAUGUUUUUUUUUGUUAUGGGGGCUUAUGUUGAUAUUUUCUUUCUGCAGAGUCAUACAGUGACAACUUGGUUGGAGAAGUUAGAAAGGAUAGGUAAUUUUGUACUCUUAACGUUUAGCAACCGUAGAUUAGGUUAGUAGUAAAUCGCCAUGUGAGCUCUUAUUUGAUUAAAUGUUUUUAUUGUUAUAGGUUGGUAGUUCCAUCACACGGGCAGGUAUCAGUUUUGUUAAAAAGGCCUCCCUCAUCGCAUGAGGGAUUGCUCGAGCAGAUGUCCGAUGCAACUAACAGAACAGCAGUGGGAAAUAAAGGGUCAAAGGCGUCGUUCAGUGAGAUGUUGAAGAAUAGUAGUAGCAAUAGCAGCAUGAAGAAAGUGGCAGCAGAGCCAUCUUCUGAUCCAAACGAAGGAAACAAAGGCGGUGGUGGGAAGAAGAAAGGCAAGAAAGGGAGGCAGCUUGAUCCAGCUCUUCUCGGUUUCAAAGUCACUAGCAAUCGCAUUCUUAUGGGUGAAAUUCACCGCGCUGAUGACUUUUAGUCAAUUCUGAUACCCUGAGAUCCAUUCAAGCGUUUCUUCUUCUCCGGCGUAAUCAUGGUAUAAUUCGAUCUUUGCCUAUAAGUAAACCCUUCUUAUGUUUUUGUUUCUCUUUGAUUUUUGAUGGUCAAUGCUUUUCUCUUUGUUUGAAAUAUGAAUCACGUGAACAUUGUUUCAACUAGCUAGAUGAGUCCUAAUAAUAUCUUUACAAAAUCACAUAUUUUUCGAAAUUUGAAUUGGAUUAGCUUACUUAUAUCUGCAUUAUUGUGGAUUGUUUACUUGAUUUUUUUUUUUGUUGAGUGUGAAUGAAUACUUGAUCCGGGAUGAACCAUUACUAACUACAAUCAUGGUGGAUCCGGGAUAUGAUAUUGAUUGAUUUGGUUAUUGCAGAAAACUUACAAAGCUGACUCGCAGACAGGAAAGUGGAGAAGUUUGACAACGUUUAUAAAGAGAGGUUUUGUUCCUGAGACCACUACGUGUACGUUUAUGUGUAUCUCUUUAAGAUAACCUGUAAGGAACCAUGGUCUGGAAUAUGAAUCAUUCCUGUAUACAAUGUGUAUGUUACAGCUCUCUUCCAGAUCAUGAGGACUGCAGCUAGCGGAGAUACGGCAUAAACCGAAUCACAUUCAAGCUAGAAGAAUCAAGUUUAGAAAUGAAUCAUUCUUCUGUCUUUCUCUUCUUUUACCGUAGAAUGCAACUUUAUGUUUACUUGUGCAUGCUAAUGUAAUAAAUAGUAUUUUCUACAAGUUAUCAUAUCUUCAAGUUAGUUCACUUGGUACGACCCACACGCAGUUGAUACCCUCUCUGUAUACAAGGAGCAAGUGUAGUUUCCACUAGAUCUCGUCAAGUCUUAUGAGGUUGAUUACUCACAGGUUUAAGGAGUUCUGACCAGGUACAGAGAGAUUAAAGGGAAGCAUGUGCGCACGUGGCAUGAUACUCGGGAUCGUUAGCCGAGAAAUCAGAUACGAUUUUUUAGUAUAUCCUUUUUCCGAAUUUUAAAAUAAUAAAAACUUUAAAUAACUAUUGCUCAACAACCUUAGAAAAGAGCUUGUUCUUAUAUAAAAAUCUCAACUAUCUUCAUCAUGCCUAUGUGGGAUUCUCCACUUUGCCAUUAUUACAUUUUUUCGGGCUUUAGACUGUACGAAGCCCAAGUCAUUCUCUUCACACAUUAACUAAAGCCCAAUAGCAUUUAAUUGGCCCAAUAAGAAUAGCAAAUUUCGAUCCACUUUUCUAGGUUUGCGAAGGUAAAGUUGAAACGAGGAGGACCAUAAAAACCAACUCGAAAGGCAAUUAAAAACAAAAUAAUAGAAAUUUUCUUCAAGAUCGCGAUCUUCAAUCCCGAAUCCCUAAUCCAUUCAAGCUUCUCCUCUCUUCUCCGGCGUAAUCAUGGUAUACUUCCUGUAAAGUCAACCCUUCCCUUUUUGUUAAAUCUGUGCAGCUUCUUCUUCUCUCUGUAACUCCGAUCUCCCAGAUCUGAUUCACGAGCUUAACUAUCAAUGUUUGAAUCACGCGAAGUUUGUUUUCAAUUAGCUAAAUUGAGAUCCUAAUUUCGAAUCGGAUUAGCUGAAUUUCUUUUACUCUUUGUUUUGUGGUUGUUAGGACGUUCGAUCUCCUGCUCCCGUUCCCGUUGGAUCUCGGCGGCGUGAUAACAAGUGGUCAUCUCGUUGGGGUCCUGACGAUAAAGAGAAAGAGAAAGAAACCAAGGUUGACUACAACAACAAGGACAACAAGGAGGAGGCUCAGAGUGAAACUCAAUCUGUGAUUGGGAGCCUCCGUGAGUCUGAGACUCGUGAUAAAUGGAGGCCACGUCAUCGGAUGGAGCAGGUCCAGAGUGGUGGACCAGCUUCUUACCGUGCUGCGCCUGGGUUUGGACUUGAUAAAGGACGAAGUGAGGGUCCAAACAUAGGGUUCACCGUUGGUCGGGGUAGGGCGAGGGGUACUUGGUCUGCUUUCUUUGGCGCUGGAGGGUUCUUGAGAAACGAAAGCGUUCCUGGUAAACCUGCGCCUACGUGUCGGUAUGUGAGGGGGAAGUUGCUUGACUUGUAUAGAAACCAGAAGCCUGAUAGGAUGCCUAUUGAUAUGGAGGAGGUUGAUUCUGUAACUCAAGUGGCUUUGAUUGAACCUCUUGCUUUUAUUGCCCCUGGUGUUGAAGAAGAGGUAUGAUCCUUACUUGAGGACUUGCUUUUUUCCUUUCUCAUGAGUGUGUCAUUGUUUUGUAACUAAUUUUCAUGUGUUUAUGGUCUGGGUGUUAUAUAUUUAUUUCAGGAAAGCCUUAAGGGUAUAUGGAAGGGUAGGAUCACUAGUAGCGAAGCUCACACUUCACCUGGGGAAGAAUCUUUAGCUGAGGAGAGUAUGGGUAUGUGUAAUCUUGUUUUUUCGUUGCUUUGCUUCUAUCUUUCCAACUAGCUUGGAUAAUGAAUGCUUCUGUGACUUGAUUCAGGUGAGACGAAAGUGGAUGGUGCUUUGCUAGGGGUUAUGAGUGGUGACAGUGUUUCCAUGCAUAAUAGUAAUUCAGGUAUGUGAAUAAUAGGUGCUAUACGGGUAUUCAAAUUCAUGAGUAUUAAAGCUUAAGUCCAUUGUUAUGAGUUUGAUGGUAUUUUAGUGUUCUAUUAUAUAUUCUGACCCAUAUCCAAACAACUGUUGCUGUAGGAGUACUUGGUAGUCAUAAUGGAGGCUUGUGGGGUGCUUCUGAAAGUGAUCAAGUUUCUCGUGGAAGUCCUGAAGCAGUUAGAUCUGCUUUUGAUAAAUCUUCUGUGUUGGAUGCGGAUGAACCCAUUGUUACGGGAAAGCUGCAGCAACCUGAUAUUGAAGUGAAUCACUCCGAAGGGACUCUGCCACCUGAGGAGUUUAUGUUCUCGUACAUUGAUCCUCAAGGAGUAAUACAGGGACCGUUCAUUGGAUCUGACAUUAUUUCAUGGUUUGAGCAAGGGUUUUUUGGGACUGAUCUACAGGUCCGCUUGGCAACUGCUCCAGAAGGGACUCC
Molecule: long non-coding RNA, 10629 nt
Filed under: Brassica rapa (field mustard)
Lineage: Eukaryota; Viridiplantae; Streptophyta; Magnoliopsida; Brassicales; Brassicaceae
Description: long non-coding RNA (BRAP_LNC006100)
Source: RNAcentral